GGGCCGGUGGCUCAGCCAGGUAGAGCACCCGGCUGAUAACCGGGGGGUCCCGGGUUCAAAUCCCGGCCGGCCCACCA
RNAcentral lists this transfer RNA (77 nucleotides) under Thermofilum pendens. Its description in RNAcentral is "tRNA-Ile". It matches the Rfam family "tRNA". Rfam says of the family: Transfer RNA (tRNA) molecules are approximately 80 nucleotides in length. Their secondary structure includes four short double-helical elements and three loops (D, anti-codon, and T loops). The record is from RNAcentral. RNAcentral also lists the same sequence under 2 other names. Lineage: Archaea; Thermoproteati; Thermoproteota; Thermoprotei; Thermofilales; Thermofilaceae.